Molecule: long non-coding RNA, 6240 nt
Organism: Bacillus rossius redtenbacheri
Lineage: Eukaryota; Metazoa; Arthropoda; Insecta; Phasmatodea; Bacillidae
Exons: 3
Source: RefSeq, a predicted model, not a curated record
UUAUGUUACCUAUAAAAUAAGUUUUAGUAGUGCAGAUAUUAUUAGUUACAUAAAAAAAAAUUGUAUAUUUGUUGAAUGUUUGCAUAAUUAAUGCCAUGUAGCACAAUAAAUUAUAAGAAUAUAGUUCAAAGAUGUUUAUUUUAUAAAUAAACUAAUGAUGUUAGUUUUUGUCAAAUUUAGAGACGAAGAUGCUCGCCUACUUAGGUUUAGGCCGGGUUUAGGCGAGGAUCUGGAAAGGCCUAACGCAAGAAACGCAGCUACGUAUGCGCAGGGUAUUUGAGUGCUGCAGCUGCUGCCUAGUCGCGGUCGGGGAACUUCGGCAGUCCUCGGUACUCCCGCUCCGUGGUCGGAAGCGGAAGUGGCAGCAGAAGCAGCCCAGUGGACGACGCAGAAGACUGCCACGCUGACUCAACACCUCACGAGCUACACCGUCAACAAGCUGCCCGUUGCCUAACGCCCCGUCGAUGACAUCGGAAGAAGUUGGACUUAUCCUCUGGUGAGCCUUGUCGACUGCAUAUUGCUAGAGUUACUGAAGUAGACUGGUUGCUGAUAGUUGCAGAAAUCACGCAGUAGUUAAGAUACUGCGGCUGUAAGAAGUAGCGAGUGUCACUCUUUACUAAAGAAGAGCGCUUCAAGCAUUUAAGUAGAGGUCAUGAGGGCAGGUGGUUGUAGUGAGGUUCGCAAAGUGCAGCCAAGCUAUCAAUAACAAACACUUCCGACUCAACAUUGUUCCUCGCAGGAAGUACAUUGUUUGUAUCCAGUCUUUGUGUAGAGUCCCAGACAGCAAGUUGAAGUUGUGAGAGCGUAGAUACAUUUGUAGUUUUGAGACUUCAAGGCAUAACGAGUGUUGCUAAACCAAAGGGAGGAGCUGUGUGAAGGCUUUGAGUGUGGCAACUUGUGUCACUGGUCACCAAGUUGCAGAAAUUUGCGAGUGGCGUGCUGAAUCCGCUACUCUCAGUAUCCACCGCUGCCAGCCGAGGCCGUCGUCAGCGAGUUCGCUGCCGGGAGAUGAGUUCCCGUUGCGGACAACCUGCUGCAGAAGUCGUCCCCUGCGACGGACGAGGGUUGAGCUGUGUGUGGUGCCCCCGAGGAGCAGCCCGUUGGGACUUCACUUCACUAUUACCAGGUUGACGGAGGGCGAACUGGAUGCGGAUGCAGCCUACCUGCCCCCCUGUGACGUAAAACCUGGUUCUGUCUGAACGUGCCGCCAAAAAAUACCAACGGCCGGAACGCCAACUCUUCAGGCCGAGAUCAAACCCACCCAGAAGGCGAAGAGGACAGAAAUUCAGUAGAAAUCUUUGGCUUUGUUAGUUGGAAUUAUGUUAACCUGAUCACACACUUAUCAAGAGCAAGUUGGUUAAAGAUUUAAUUCUCACACUUGAUUUAAAAUUAUGUACUUUUUAACUACCACAUUGAAUCUAUUACUGCCAAUUAUAAUAGCAUACUUGCACUUAUCACAUACAUUUCUUAUUUUGUCUCUAAUACAGAUUCAAUCAUGUGUUUUUACUAAGCCUGUGCAAAUAUCAGUUUUUUUAGUUCGAAUCGAAUUCAAAUACGAAUACCAAAUUAUUCUCGAAUACGAAUAUUGAGUUCGAAUAAUUGGAAUGAGAAUUGUAAUCCCAUAAAACAUGUUAUAUCACAUCACAUUACAAUAUGAUAACAGGUACAUAUUUACUGAUACAAUAUAUGUAGAAUCAAAAAACAAAAAACUGACAGUAAUUAAAAUUUUAAGGUUCUCCAUUUUUAUAAUUAGUUCGUAUUAAAAAGAGUCUUGUCACAUCACUGCAUAUUAGCUAAUUUAAAUUUUUGUGCAGAAACACAAGCUGCUCUACAUUUUCGGGGAGUAGACUCUCUCUUCUACACGUCACAAUGUUGCCAGCUGUUGAGAAAAGUCUCUCACUGCACACUUGUGUGGCAGGUAUAGGCAAGUACUUUCUUGCUACCACAGCUGUGUUUCGGAAACAAGUGCGCCCCUUCUCUGACCAGAAACUGAAAGGAUUUUCAUUCUUUGGGAUUAAGGGUGCUGCCAGAUAGUAUUAGUUUACUUCUCCUUGGAUAGUUUCUUCGUAGCUUGCAAGAAUAGACUGAGCUGCUGUUGAAGGCUUCAAGUAGGCCCACAGAGAUGACUUCUUAAUAGGCAUUUCACUUGUAGCCUCACUUGUCUCAGUUAUAGUUUCAGCUACUGUGUUCAGCUUACACAGCUUACAUACCUCCCUGCACAAAUUUUCAACCCAUAUUUUUUUUUUAAUUUUCAUCCUCAAUUAGUGAAUCUUUGAACCGUGGAUCUACCAUCAUAGAAAACACACUUACUUCACAAUCUUGGUACACCAUGUAAUGUGAUCGCAAGCUAAGUAAGUUCUUGGCAAGAGUUUUUUUUUUUUUGACGCACGGGACAGGAUAAUUGCCUGAGCUGUCACUACGCGAGGAAUUUGGGAAGGGUGGGAAGGGUAUGAAGGAGGGGGGGGGGGGGGGGGGGUUUGCCGCCUGCAUCCGGUCGUUUACUGUGUAUUAUCCUAUUGAAAAACAUUGACGUAGCAUGUUAGGCUUUUGGGGACUUUGCUGUGAGUAUGCGGCCAGAUGUUUUCCACAUGGUCUGUACAAUUUACUUUCUCUUCGCCGUCACGUUCGGAACGAAAUUACAGUGCCGACAAACCAUGUUUCACCCUCUAAUCUGAAAACUGUCAACUAUAACGUCCCGGUUGUGUGGAUUUUACAGACACAUAUUUAUCUUUAUCAGUAUGCUGACAGUUCAAAUCUAUUUUAAAUGACCUGGCGACAUUCUUCUACAUAAAAUACGUUAGUUAUCGCUCCGAAUUACUGUGUUCAAACGGGCUUUACGUGGCCAGAUGUAGUGAUCCGGCUCAGCCUUUUUCGUAAAUGACUGAAUAUUCGUUUUUUCGAAGUGUUAGUAUUCGAAAUCGAAUCGAAUACGAAUAAUAAACUAUUCGUUUUGAUAUUCGAAAAUUAGAAUAUUCGCACAGGCCUAGUUUUUACAUUUCCUUGGUAAGAUCAAGGUGAGAGUUAAUUUCAUGAUCUGGAACAAUUGAAGUAAUACUAACAAAAUGGACAAAAUACAAACAAAAUUAAUUCAGACUAUAAAUAAAAAAAAAAUUAUUUUUUCUAUAUAACAAUAUCCACUUUGGACAAAACAUAUUUGAAAAAUUGGUUGUCUGUAAAGUCGGUUUAUGGACGAUAGUUUAACGUGACAAUGUCAUAACAAAGCAUUGAUGAAAUGAUUGAUCCAGAAGAAAAGGAAAUAUCAUAUUCGGCCUGAGACUGAGCCGUAAUAGGUUUUUGCAACCAAACCGUUUAGGCAUUAAAAAUAUUAUAUUCUUCGAGGAAGAAUUUUUUUUAAAAAUUUUUCUAUCUUUUGUAUGAUAAUAUCUACCUAUGCAUACUUUUAUGAAUAACAUUGAAUCAUUUUUAUUGAAUUAUCACUAUUUUGUAUUGAUACAAAGGAGUGAAAUGAAAUGUACAAUUUAAUUAAUAAAUUUACUUUUAUUAAUUUUCAUUUAUUAAUUCAAAUAUAUUUAUUACUUUUGAAAUGUUGCGUGUGCCGUAUUUAUUUUUACAAGUACAAAAGAAAAUUUGCAGCGGCCGAGAUUCAAACCAAUAACCUUUGGAUUGGAAGUCAUCCAUGCUAACCACAUGGCCACGAGACCAUAUUGAGAGUAAGUUUUUCAGAUGGUAUAAAUUAAUAAUAUUCCACGCACAAAAUUUGUUUGAAUUUCUUUUAACUAGCAUAUUCUCUGUUGGACUCGAAAUAUUUACACGCUCGUGGGCUCAUAACUAUAAUACGGUGUGUGAUUUAGUUGAUCAAAUAAUAACUCAUGACAAAUAAUUACCAAUGUCAAACUAAAGCGUGAAAACUAUCAUACCAGCAAUAAAUAUUUAGUUACACAGCUAAAACAAUACUCAUACAACACUGUUUAAAUAUACUGAUUUACACUAGUAAUUAAAAUAAUACGUACUUGUAAGAGCGCCAUUUCCUUGCGAAUAUGCUCCCGUGGCGCGGUGCACAACAAUAACCCAAUAACCUCAAACCAGUACGCCGCCACGUGCCGGCCGAGUUCUCUGUACCGUCCGCAACAUACCAGAGAUGCCACGCAUGCGUAAACAGGACACAUCCGUAGUGGGACAUCCGUAGUGGGACAUCCGUAGUGCGACAAUUUUUCGUGCGUGCAGCCAGCGUUCAUCGAUAUAUUAGACGUCACAUCAAAAAUGUCCAAAUUACAAUAUUGAUGUAGUACAAACUACACUAGGCUCUUAAGGAGCAAGAAGGAACAUGCAAAGUUUGUAAGUGACUCUUUGAAACACAAGUCACAUUGCAAUUAUUUUAUUGAAAAUACAGGCAUCUAGUCCCUGCUUUUAAUAUACGCCAUCAUCCUUCAUUGUUUAUUAAAUAGAUCAGUAAAUAAGUUUUGACAUAUCAGGGGAAAAGAUGCAAUGUUCGUUUUUACUUGGUUAUUAUUAUCUAUAUUAGAUAUUAAAACUGUAGAUAUUAAUUCUAAAAAUUAACAUAACUCCAAUGUAUCUGUUCAUAUUCUCAUGUUUACUGUCCAAUAGUUAUCUGCUGUAGUUGCCGUUGUAAAAGUAUAUGUAUUUUAUUUUCUUGCAGUGCAUUGUAUUUCUUAUUUUCUUAAUUAUGUACUUAAUGUUUUACUUUUUCUUGUAUGUUUUUUCUGCCAACGUUUUUAUUGUUUUGUUUUUGUAUUUCGUGUUCUGUGGCAGUUGUUUUUCAUUUUUGUCCUUCUUUGUGUUGUAUAUGUAUGGAGUCUGUCACCUUGGCUCACUGCUGUAAGUAGGCUUGUUAUAAUAGUUUAAUAAAAAAAAAAUAAGUAUUGCAGAUGUGAUAUUUGCAAGUAUGUUGAUCAUAUUGUCUUGUAAUUAUAUUAUUUUAGCAUAUGCCAUGUAUAUGCUUCACACCACUUGUGUAUUGAUGUCACAAAUUGCUGAAAGGUAACACAUACACACACCCGUCUACAGUAUUGUUUGUGCGGGUAUGUUUUUUGUAUGUCCAAAACUGGCUUGUAAAAAUUAGUGCUAAGGUUGUUGUAUUUCGUUCAGCCCUCUCCAUCUUCAAAGCUGUGAUAUAUGUAUGGGAAGACUAAGAAGAAAUUAUUAUUGUAUAUAACUGACUAUGUAUAUAGCAUUCAGAUGUAACGAAUUGUUAAUACAGUAGAGUCCCGAAAACUCGGCACUCGAUAACCCGGCAGUCCGGAUAACUCGGCCACACCCUGACUAGGGGAAAAUCCCAGCGCGCAGACUCGUUCAAUGUCCCGCAUUCCUUUGUCUCGCGCCACACCCCCACUCCUCCCCCAUAUGUCUGGUGCCGGCGCGCGCUCAACCAUUCAGUAUUCAGUCUACCUGUAGUCUUCUGUCUUAUUAUGUAAAUUAUUGUUCACUGUGUAUUCAUUAUUGUUCAUUUUCAUGUAACAAAGUGUCUAUGCCUUCAUGAAGUACGUACUUUUACUUUGUUUAAAGAUACUAUUUGGCCAGUUAAUUCUUUGUUGUAUUUUCAAGUAAACAAUAAACAAUACAUGCAAGUAGAGUACCGUAUUUUCUGAUGAAGCAUUCAUACUUAUUCUUUUUGAACACCAUUGCCGAUAACUCUGCAUAUUCACAAUCUCGACCAACCUUCGGUCCACAUUAGGCCGAGUUUUCGGGACUCUAGUUUAUUACAUUAAAAUUUUCUUUGUAACGAUGGGGUGGGAGGAGUUUUUGUUCAAAUAUUGCAUGAAGAAUCGUAGUGCCUUUUAGCAUUGUUUUGUAGUUGUAUUGUAAGCUAGUGCUCCAGUAGAAGUGUGGCAAAGAAGAGUGUAAUUUGCAAUUGCAAAUAAAUAUCAUCUCAAAAUUGGCAAUGUAAUAACAAUAAGUAACGCUUUACAGAACCAUGAAGCUGGUUAACAUAACUUACUCGAAUCAACACUGUACCUAAUAUACAAUAUUGCAUGUCAUUCAAGAAUGUACUCCACAAACUCAAAUACCUACAUGUGAUUUGUUUAUUCAAAAUUAGUGGUAUUUUGAGCAGUUUGCAGAGUUAUUCCUGAUGCAAGUGGAUCUGCUAAUGAAUGAUAACUGAUAAGGUACAUAUAUGUAGUUUCUAGUUUUUAAUGACAGAUUAUCAUUACUCUUCAUAUGAUUAUUUUUCACCCUAUAUUCAUUUUUGGACUUCUUUGAAUUUUUUAGUAUUUUGUUUGUGUUAAAGCAUUUUAACUAUGUUAGCUGUCAAUUGGAGAG